UGGUUAUAAAGGACUUGUCUAGGGGAGAGCCUGUAGGUACUCCAUUGUCUGAUUGUUUCUGUUUCAUGCCCUGUCUCAUUUCGCAUAGCUAAAAAAGAAUGCUAAUUAAGAUCCCUUGUCUUAACCUGAAAAAUAAUGACUCGGCUGUAAUUAGAAAUCUGGUGAGAGUUUAAAAAUUCUGGUAGGGGACCAAAAACAUCAGUUACGGUGCUUAGGAAGAAAAUGAAGAAUUAUUUUUCUGAAAUCAAGAUGGAUCUGAGAACGCUGUCUGGGCUUGGUACCAAGAGCUGGUAUUUCACAGCAGCGACCGCCUCACAGACGAGCUGUGGGAAGCAGGAGGGAGACUCUCUCUUAGGGUGCCACUACUAUGGAGACACAGCUGGGCUGAACAAGAUUUGCUUCAAACGACAACAAGAGAGACAGAAAGUAUCUGGUUCAACCGCUGCCCGAGCAGGCAGGCACCAGAAGAGCUAGCAGCCAAUCCGGCCAUGCUCGAAGCCAGCUCUGCAGCUCAGCCAAUCAGUGACAUCAUUGAUCUUCAGGAAUUUUACUGGGAUAAUUAUCCAAAUAAAUUGCAAGCAUUCUAUCCAAAUGGACAUCCAUAAAAAUUCAUCAGAGAGCAUUUUACUACUGAGCUGCAAAGGUAGGAAAAAUAAAUUUUUUUUGGUUAGAAAAUAUACUUCUUUCAUCUGCGUUUCAAUAAUUUAUUCCCCUUGUUAGAUAUACAUGGAAUUGAUAUUGCUUAUUCUGACUAAGUGAAAAGUGUUAUUUCUACUUACUGCUCAAUUAGAAACAUGUAGUGUUUAAUUGUCAGUUUGAAUUUUUCUUUCAUACUAUUACAGUUUAUAUUUUACUAUAGGCAGAAUUUCCUCUUUAUCCUAAAUUUUGAUAUUCUCCAUAAUUUCAUCGUGCCUUGACAUUGCUGUAUAUAAUUUCUAUACAUCAGGAAGGCAAUUCUGUGUGCAUGUGUGUGUGUAUAUAUAUAGUUAGAAGUUAGAAACUGAAACUCUUUUUUGUCUACCAUCAUUUCAUAUUUUUCUUGCUAUUUCAAACCUAUAAUUUUUAAAGAAACGACUAACGUAAUCAUUCAUAGAAUAUGCUGUCAGUAACUUAACAAUAUAAAUGUUAACAUGGAGGCAUUUAGUUCAGCAUUUGCUUUACUUAAUAGAGUGCAGAAAAUGUGGCCCUUUUCUCAGUUAGGGUGUAUGUGAAGAUAAAUUUAGAAUUUCUAGACUAGUAAAUACUUCUCUGAUAAUAACUUAAUUAUAGCUAUUUCAAACCAAAUUGUUUAAUUGUGGUGAAUCAUAUGUAAAUUGUUCAGAUGUAGGUCAACACCCACGCCCACAUUCUAGCACCUCUUUCCUAAUUCAAGACAACUUUGCAGUGCCUAAAAGAGCUGAACAGUGCAGAUUAGAGACAUAAGACAAAAAAAAAAAAAAAA
This 1441-nucleotide long non-coding RNA is filed under the name Homo sapiens (human). RNAcentral describes it as "mir-99a-let-7c cluster host gene". The record is from RNAcentral. Lineage: Eukaryota; Metazoa; Chordata; Mammalia; Primates; Hominidae.